Rhincodon typus (whale shark) is the source of this 4050-nucleotide RNA transcript. It is a transcript of the gene named KH domain-containing, RNA-binding, signal transduction-associated protein 1-like, with no coding region annotated. The record is from RefSeq and is a predicted model, not a curated record. The transcript has 11 exons. NCBI's taxonomy places the organism in Eukaryota, Metazoa, Chordata, Chondrichthyes, Orectolobiformes, Rhincodontidae.
GUUGGUGCGCAGGCGCAUUGUCAGUGUGUGAGGAAGCAGAGUGAGCGGCAAUGGCGAAUGAGAAAUAUCUGCCCGAACUUAUGGCGGAGAAGGACAGUCUGGACCCGUCCUUCGUCCAUGCAAGCAGGUUACUGGCUGCAGAAAUAGAAAAGGUUCAGAAGGGAGAGAAAAAAGAGGAAGAAAAGAGAUUCCUUGAUGUCUUGACACAGAAGAACAUAAAGCUUUCUGAACGUUGCCUGAUACCUGUUGCACAAUUCCCGAAGUUCAACUUUGUAGGGAAGCUGCUUGGACCUAGAGGAAAUUCAUUGAAGAGGCUGCAAGAAGAUACAGGCACAAAAAUGUCCAUCCUUGGGAAAGGUUCAAUGCGAGAUAAGUCCAAGGAAGAUGAGCUUCGUAAAGGAGGAGAAGCUAAGUAUGCACACUUGAACAGUGAUCUGCAUGUUCUUGUUGAAGUCUUUGCACCCCCAACUGAAGCCUAUUCACGAAUGUACCAUGCCAUGGAGGAGCUCAAAAAAUUCCUUAUUCCUGAUUACAAUGAUGAAAUAAGACAGGAGCAGUUAACUGAGCUGGCAUAUUUGAAUGGUGGGCAAGAAGCAUCCCGUGGAAGAGGUGUACGUGGCCGUGGAGCUCCACCUGUACCACUUGCCAGGGGCCGUGGUGCAGCACCACCACUUUCUACAUCUCAGUAUGGACCACGAAGUGCAAUAACACGUGGGGCAACUGUGAGAGGAGCACCUGGAGGCCGCAGGGAAGUAGCAAGUGGACGUGGUGCCACACCAGUGCAGAGGGGUGCCCCAGCACCUCGCACCCGUGGAGCACCUUCAGCAUACAGACCGGCACUGCACCCUCCACCUGCUCAGGAAAGCUAUGAUGAAUAUGGUUAUGAUGAUGGAUAUGCAGAGCAGAGUUAUGACAGUUAUGAAAACUAUUAUGACCAAUCCCAGGGCGAUGCUGAAUAUUUUGACUAUGGACAUGGAGAAGUGCAGGAAACUUAUGAAGAUUAUGGGCAGGAGGAUUGGAAUGCAGGGCGAGCAAGCCUGAAGGCACCGGCAAGAUCAUUGAAGGGAAUGUACAGAGAUCAUCCUUAUGGGAGAUACUAAACCUGGCUCUGACCAUGUGUCCAUCCUUAUAAAUUGCUUCAAUCUUCUGUGGUCACCAUCUUGUUAUCAACUGUGAGACAAGCACAGGGUAGUAACCCCUGCUGAAGUUUGUAUCCUUAGAGCCGGGAUGUCUUGUUGGAGCUCAAAAAGGUUUGGUAAGCAGACCUCCAGUAAAUUUGGCACACAAUUCUCAAGUUCCAGGCCACCUAGUCAAAUUAUGGAACAAAAAUUAAGGAUGGAAUUGAGGGAAGUCUCCUUGUAAGAAUAAACGUUUGGAGACGGAGUAAUGAAGUAACUGAUACCGCUAAUAUUUUUUAGAAACCUGAUGUGAACAUUUGCUAAAACAAUUUGUGAAGGAAGACUCUGGGCUGAGGCAACUAUUCUUAAGUCUAACCAGUUGAAAGUCUGAAGUAUCUCUGACUUGGCUUGUUAACAUGCUCAACAGUUAAAGAGCAAAUGUUUUUGUUUGUCUAGCAUUCUUGCUUCUGAAUGGUCAGGUGUAGUUAAGUGUUGAUUGUUUAAAAUGUGAAGAAAAUAAAACUAUUUGGAAAUCUUUGAUUUGUUUAUAUUCACUAACUGCCACUGGAUUUCAUUAAGAUCUGUGUAACUGAAGUUGCAGGAUUUUUAAAACAAUAACGCAACAUUUCCAGAAAAUAGUAAUUUUUAGAAAUUCAUGUGUGGUGUUAGCCUGCAAUCUUGCCUGAGGCUGGAGAUUUAUGAUGCUGGAAAUUUCAGCAUUGUUUUACACUGGGGAUUUUCAGGUGAUGUGCAAAGUGGUAUGUGAAAGACAAUGUCAUGUGGGAAAUUUUAGGUCUGGGAAGUUGGUGGGCGGGGGUGGAAAACUGAACAAUUCAACAUUAGUUUGAAGUAUAAAAGGAGGAGGAGAGUGUUUUGGAGCAAGUAUCAUGAAAACAUUUGAAUGGGAGUUAGAUUUAUCUGAAAGUGAAGAAUAUACAAGGUUAGAAGUAGAAAGCAGACAAAUUGCACUAGAAGUUCAUUUGUGGUGCCUGUGUAGACAUGAUGGGCUAAAUGGCCGCCUCCUGCUCUGUGCAGUUCUGGAUAUUUUAGGUUGUUCUGAAAUGGGUUGUAAUAUGGGUAGUGAUUCCCACAGGUAAAGAGCCACUUCAGUUUGUGGUUAGUGAUUUGGAUGGAGGUUUGUAAAGAGUGGUGAAUCUUACAGAUAAAACAUAGAAUUGUACAGCACAGGAACGGGCCCUUUGGUCCAGGAUGCAGUGCCGAACGUGACACCAAUUUAAACUAAUCUCUUCUGCAUAUUCAUGUGCGUAUCUACAAGUUUCUUAAAUGCCCCUAUUAUAUCUGCACCCUCACUGUGUGGCAACGUGUUCCAGACUCCUACCACUCUGUAAAAACACAACUUGCCCCUCAUCUCCUUUGAACUUGCCCCCCUCUCACCUGAAAUGCAUGCCCCCUAGUAUUUGUUAUUUCAACUCUGGGGGAGGGGGGGGGGAAAAGAUUCUGACAGUCAACCCAACGUAUUCUUCUCAUAAUUUUAUAGACUUCUAUCAAGUCUCCCCUCAACCUCUGCCACUCCAGAGAAAACAACCUGAGUUUUUUCUAGCCUGUCCUUAUGGCUCAUACCCUCUUAUCCAGACAGCAUCUUUGUAAACCUCUUCUGCACCCUCUGUAAAGCCUCCACGUCCUUCCUGUAAUGCGGCAACCAGGAUUGAACACUAAGUGCGGCCUAAGCAAAGCUUUAUAAAGCUCCAACAUGACAUCCUGACUUGCUCUCAAUUCCUCGACCAAUAAAGGCAAGCAUGCCAUAUGCAUUCUUCUCUCCCUCCCUCCCCUCCCUCCACCCCUCCACCCACCCCCCCCAUCUACUUGCAUGGCUACAUUCAGGGAGCUAUGGACUUCAACCUCAAGGUCCCUCUGUACAUCAACACUGUUCAGGGUCCUGCCGUUAAUUGUAUACUUUUCUUAAAUAUUUGAGCCCCCAGAGUAUAGCACCCCACACAUGCCCAGAUGAAACUCAAUCUGCCAUUUCUCCACACACAUCUGCAACUGAUCUAUACCCAGUUGUAUCCUUUGACAACCUUCUACACUAUUCACAACUCUGCCGAUCUUUGGUAUCAGAUGAUACCAAAAAAAGUACAAUUAAACUUUAGACAAAAGAAUGGAAUAGGUGUAAUAAUAGUUCAUGGAAUUCACUGCCCACAAGUGUGGGGUUUUUUUUGAAUAGUUCCAUCCCACUGCUGCAAGUGCAGUAAGAAUGAUUUAGGAUACAUGUAUACUAUUGGAUUUUAAAUAGGCCACAGAAACUUGUAAAUCAGUGACUUUAGCAGCAAGGAGGUGGACAAGUAAGGACAGCCCAUGGGGUGGGUUUUGGGAGACUUGCUAAUCUUUGCUUAGUUAUUAGUGUGCAUUGUUGUAACAUCCUGUAACACAUUUUCAAGCCACAAUGGCAGCAGAUUAAUUUCUCCAACUGAAAUUUGUAAUACAUAAAUAAGACUUAUAAUUGAGUUUAUAAAAUGCACAUUAUGCAGUAACUAAAUGUAGUGUAUUCAUUGGAUUGUUUUGAACCUAUCUUUUAUUUUGUCAGGAAGUUCACCUUCUCUGGAAGGCCUAAGAUGGUAUUCUACAUUGUAUGGAGAACUGUAACACUGCAUACCAACCACAUGCAUGAAUCCCUGGAAUACUUAAGGAACACUACUUUGGCCUAGUACUGUCACAUUUUCCCAUUUCAAUCAUUAUUGUCUUUAUACAAUGUAUUGUAUAAUACAUUCAUUCAAAUAAACUUUACCAUACAAAAAAUAAAUUUAGGUAAUGUUUAUAUUUAAAAUAGAAAUGACGGCUAUCUACUGGUUUCACAUCUGCAGUGUUUAAUUAUAGUCGAGUUAUAACAAUGGAAAAAUUCAUAUGGUUUGUACUUUUGAAACAUUUGGAAGAUAACUGAGUAGGUUUUAAAUAAAAGCUAUUCACUUUUACUAUG